RNAcentral lists this ribosomal RNA (380 nucleotides) under uncultured eukaryote. Its description in RNAcentral is "partial 18S ribosomal RNA". It matches the Rfam family "Eukaryotic small subunit ribosomal RNA", at positions 592 to 976 of the family's 1831-position model. The record is from RNAcentral.
CAAUAGCGUAUAUUAAAGUUGUUGCGGUUAGAAAGCUCGUAGUUGGAUUUCUGCUGAGAACGACCGGUCCGCCCUUUGGGUGUGUAUCUGGCUCUUUCUUGGCAUCUUCUUGGUGAACGUUGCUGCACUUGACUGUGUGGAGCGCUACCCAGGACUUUUACUUUGAGGAAAUUAGAGUGUUUCAAGCAGGCAUACGCCUUGAAUACAUUAGCAUGGAAUAAUAAGAUAGGACCUCGGUUCUAUUUUGUUGGUUUCUAGAGCUGAGGUAAUGAUUAAUAGGGAUAGUUGGGGGCAUUCGUAUUUAACUGUCAGAGGUGAAAUUCUUGGAUUUGUUAAAGACGGACUACUGCGAAANCANNNGCCAAGGAUGUUUUCAUNGA